Molecule: long non-coding RNA, 4318 nt
Organism: Oreochromis niloticus (Nile tilapia)
Lineage: Eukaryota; Metazoa; Chordata; Actinopteri; Cichliformes; Cichlidae
Source: Ensembl
AUGUGGCUUGACUGUAUAUUUAUAUAUUAUUUAUUAUAUAUACACACACACGUAUUGAUAGAUAUGUACAACAAAACAAUACAUUACACACAGCACACUCAUACUCAUAGUAACUCGUGUUGUUAUGUUGUUGUUGUGUUGUUGUUUCAUAUUGCAGCUAGCAUCUACGUGGUUAGAAGGAUCCGGGCUUCCAUCGCUGAAGGAGAGCAACAGGAGAAGCCCAUCCUGACACCAUGUAGUGCUAUUGCUGGAAAGAGAGCGGGGCAGGGGUUGAGAGAAAAAGCCUCGACUGCAUCACUGAGCCCAGGAUCUGAUGAAGGCGUCUUAGAAGCAGCAGGGCCGGGGACGUCAUCAGAGACAGCCGUGCAGAAAUGUGGCUCCUGAUGUUAAAGACUACGCUGGACACUAGGACCAUGGACAAGUCAACGGAAAUAAAUAAUCUGUGAUUUAUUUCAUUUCAUUUUUUUUGGAGUACUCAUUCAUUUUAUACACUAAACAAUUUAUGUGAGAAGAUCUACAUUGUUAUUUUUUUUUUUUUACACAAAAGCAAACAUCAAACAAACAAGAAACAUUAUUCCAGCACUGUCCAUGUUGUACCCAGUGGUCAAAUUUCUUUUACUGGAGACAUUUUGACUUGCCACACCAUGAAGUACUGGCGUAGCUAAUAAAAAAUAUCACUAUAAUAACAUUAACCAAAAUCUGUUAAAAAAAAAAAGGAAUGGAUAUUUUAUCAAGUGUGAGUGGUAGGUCAACAUGUUCUCUGUAAGUAAAAUCUAAGUUUUAUCUGCUGCAGUGUUUGAAGGCCGGCUCACCAACCUCUUUCCAGGGGCUGAGCUGGCCUGAUGUUUCUGCUGUUACAUCAAUAAAUUAUAAAAAUGCUCUUGUGGUCAUAUUUUCUUUUAUAAGGAAUAAGAGUGUACCAGUAAACAUGCAUUCACAAUAAUUGUGAAAAAUGAAAAUAUCUAUGUUAAAAAUGAAAUCUUCAAUUAUUUUAUUUUUAGUAAUAAAUGAGUGAGUGACUGUUCUUUCACUGAGUUAGAGAGUUCAGGAUGAAUCUGACGAAUGGCAUUGUUUUUUUUUAAUUUUUAAUUUUUUACAGCUUUCAGAAACAAUUUUGCUCUGUGAUUUUUACAUUUUUGAAAAUAUAUUUAUUUUUUAUUUCAAUUAUUGCUCAAGGCUGUGGCUGAAGCAAAAACUCAGGUGUGGGAGGAGCUUGGAGAGGUUUUCGGACUGUCUCCAAGAGUUUCUGGCAAAACUGUCAGGCAACUCAGGAGGGGAAGCAGUGCUCUACCUGCACUGUGUAUAGUGCAGGUAGAGCACUGCUGACUUCGACUGAGGAUAUUUUCAGGUUGUGGAAGAGAUAUUUAGAGGAUCACCUUAAUCCCAGGGCCGCAUCUUCCGUGGAGGAAGUAGAGUCUGAGGAUGAGGGGGAUGACUUAUCCAUCAAGUCCAUUGCUAUGGGCCAUUCGAUCCUUAUACAACUGCUGCAAGAGUUUGGACCACAUAGCCGGUAAUAAGUGGGACUCUGCCAGGGCUACCCUUUGUCACCGAUUCUGUUCAUAAUUUUUAUAGACAGAAUUUCUAGGCAUAGCCAAGUGGCGGAAGACUUCCACUUGGGUAGUCUUAGAAUCUCAUCUCUUCUUUUCGCAGAUGAUGUGGUUCUGUUGGAUUCAUCAGGUGAUGGCCUCCAGCUUGCACUGGAGCGGUUCGCAAGUGUGAAGCGGCAGGAAUGAGAAUCAGCCCCUCCAAGUCGGAGGCCGUAAUCCUUAGCUGGAAAAAGGUGGAGUGCCCACUACAGUUUUGGGGCGAGUAACUGUUCCAAGUGGAGGAGGUUAAGUAUUUUGUGGUCUUGUUCGCGAGUGAGGGAAGCGGGAGAUUCACAGACCGUUUGCUGCUAUGGCUGCAGUGUUGUGGACGCUAUACUGGUCCAUUGUGGUGAAGAGAGAGUUCACCAUAAAAGCGAUGCACUUAAUUUUCCGGUGGAUCUACAUCCCUACCCUCACCUAGCACUAGAUUGCAGAUACAAGCAGCGUAAAUGAGCUUUCUCCAAAUGUUGGUUGGGCUCUCCCUUAGAGAUAGGGUGAGGAGUUGGGCCAUUCAGGAGGGGCUCAGAGUAGAGCCUCUACUCCUUCACAUCGAAAGGAGCCACUUGAAUUGGUUCUGACAGGGAUGCCACCUGGGCGCCUCAUGCCUGAGGUGUUCUGGGUAUGUCCUACUGGGAGGAGGCCCUGGGGCAGACCCAGGACACACCGGAGAAAUUAUAUCUCUCGGCUGGCCUGGGAAUGGCUUGGUGUUCCCCCCGGAUAAGUGAAAGAAAGUGAAUGGAUGAAUGGAAUAAUGAUGAAGUGAAAAUCUGAGUUUAACCCCUAAUUUUUUUUUUUUCGUGCUGGAGCUUUUGACUUUUCCAGCUGGAAAAGCACAGGAUAGAAAUGGCAGCAUUAUUAGCUCCAUUCAGGGAACACUAGUGUCCCAUGACAGCCAUGUUGAUGAGAAAGCAUGAGUGACUUAUUGUUGAGUGAGUUGUUAAUAACUACAUCAUGGAUUUUUCUGCUCUUGCACCUCUGCUGUUUGUGCAGAUUUAUACAGAGAGAUUUUGUAAAAAAUCUUUUUGUGGAAAAAAAUUUGAUAGAUAGGUAGAUAAUUAAGUUCAAGCACCACAUGUGCUGAAACUGUUGUAAAACUUACAGCUGUAUUAUUGCUGGUCUAACAUUGGUAUGUUUAUUGCCCCUUAUAGAUGCAGUGUAACAAAAAAAGACUGUAAAAGUGGAUGGUAUUAUAUGUUUUUACGUAUAUGAAUUUUGGGUCCUGUGGGUGCUGGAGUAGCAGACCAAUUAAACUAUAAGUUAGUUAUUGUUCUGCUGGGAUACUUUGCAUCUUGAAAUUCGUCUCCAUGUUUCCAUAUUUCCAAUUGGAAGAAGAGCCCAAGGCAACAGCCAUCAGUUUUCCCAGACCCAAAUCCAAUAAAAUCAAUUGCAAGAUUUGCUGAAAUGAGACUAAUCUACCGGCAACAUCACAUGAGUUGAGAGUAUGAGUACGAGAUGAGUAUUUUGCUGGGGAUCUACACAACUGUUGGCAGUUUUGGUUGUUUUAAUUUCUUUAUUGACACCUACCAGCCACCUUGAUAGGUAUUCUGUGCUAGUACCAAGUUGGACCUCCUUUUUCCUUCAGAGCACAGAUUCAACAUUUUUUGGUCCAUUUGAUGUGAUAGCAUAACAUAGUUGUUGCACAUUUGCUGGCUGAAUAUUCAUGAUGGGAAUUUUUCUAUUCCACCACAUCCCAAAGGUCCUCUGUUAGAUUACGAUCUCAUGACUCUGAGGCCAUUUGAGUACAGUGAACUCACUGUCAAGCCAGUAAACCAGUUUCAGAUGAUUUGAACUUUGUGACUCUGGUGUUUUAUCAGAAGAUUCAUUGUACACACCGGAGUCAUGGUCAGAACACGGUCAGCAACAAUACUCAACAAUAAACAAUAUUCAGUUAGCACCAAGGAGGGAAUUGUAAAACCAGGCAAUGUUUUCCAGUCACCCUUUGUCAAACUUUGUGGAUCUCAUGGAAAUUGUUUCCUCUGUUGCCUUUUUUUUUAGCUGACAGGAAUUGCACCCAAUGUGGUCUUUUGCUGAUGUAGAAGACCACACCUACUGUACACCCAAGUCUUUGCAUUGGCAAAGAAUGUUUUUUUUCUUAUUUCUCAUGUUUACCAGUGCGUUACUGCAACAGUUUUCAGUUGUUUUUUGUUCGUUAGUUGUCUUCACCAUGGGAAAUGCACCUCAACUGAGUUGAAAUUGACUGUCUGCCUCUAAAACACCAUAAUGUUGUACUUCAAUACUUUCAAAAAAUUUCUAGUUUUUCUUUGUUCCAGAUGCUGUUGACUUAGCCACUGCUAAUGUCCUAAUAUUCCUAAAGUUAAAUAAAUGUGAUGGAUCUGUUUUGGCUUUCAUCUUAUUGACUGACUGUUUAACUUGCACUUAAUGUGCACACAUUGUGGAUUCACAUAAACAACUAACAGAUGUAAAUACUACACUUGGAAUCAACUCUAGACCUUUUAGAAGACAGUAAAACUUUAUUGUCAUUGCACAGAUGUACCUGCUUAUUUUAUGAAAAAAUAAUGAAAUGAUCAUACAUCUGUCAUAACGCUUGAGUGAAUUGUAGAAUAACAUAUGACAAUAGGAGCUACUCAUAAAAAGAUAAAUGUAAAUGCAAUUCUUCAACUGUUUUAAUUUUUUUUUUUUUAAUUUCAAAACUAGAUUUAUCCUUUAAAUACUAGACAAUAGCUGCCAAGUUUCCCUUUAAUUGAUGAGCAUGAUGUAGCGUUUAUUGUGUU